Molecule: transfer RNA, 77 nt
Rfam family: tRNA
About the family: Transfer RNA (tRNA) molecules are approximately 80 nucleotides in length. Their secondary structure includes four short double-helical elements and three loops (D, anti-codon, and T loops).
GGCCUGGUGGCGAAGUUGGUUAACGCUGCGGUCUGCAAAACCGCUAUUCGCGGGUUCGAAUCCCGCCCAGGCCUCCA